CAGCGCGGUGCUGCGCAGCCCCAGCGCGGCGUACAGCGUCCCGAGGAGCGCCCCGAGCCUAUAAACUGCCCAGCCAACGGUGAGACGAUUCGUCUUCCUUCCCAGCUACAUGCAGGAUGAUAUUCUUUCAGUCUCGAAGAUUCAGGAUCCCCAACGAAACCCCUACACCAACCGUUCCCACACUAACAGCGCCAGGAGAGAAAGGGCGUGACUUUUCCCUGGGCACUGUCAGCGCUCACAAAGCACACCGCACGAUGGCGGUGUGGACUUGCAAAAGAAUGAAAUUCAUCUUUUCUAGCUGUAAACCACCCAAAAUGCAGAUCCAAGUUCAAAACGUCACUGCUCUCAAAUAAUCUGUGUCGGGACAGAAAGAUUUCACCGACCUUCCCCUUCCAAGAGCAAACUCCCGUUUGCACCACACUCAAAACGGACUCCUCUGUGCUAAUAAAUUUUUUUCUGCCUCAUGGAGUCCAGCUACAAACUUGAAAACCACGGGCAAAAGUGUAGCUCACAGAAGUGCCAGCUGAGAAAGCUGUUGCUGGCCAAAACGGCCAGUGCACGCACACACCCUGCUGUCAGCACCUUCCUCCUCAACUCUGUGUGCCAUCGGCAUCCUUCAGGCUCCCAGGCACAUGCAGAUGCACUUGGCUGAGAAAAUAAAACGGAUUUGGAUCUGCUAAAACACCUGGGUAUGAAUAUUAAAUAUACACAUGUAUGAAAUCGUGGUACAUGUGUGUAAGCUGGUGUGUGAAGAGGCAAAGGAGCCACUUGGUCAUUGCAGCAAUGAUUGAUAACCUCAGAUUUUGUGGUUUCUCUGAGUUUUCUUUCACUUUGAGGGCUGUGGACUGCUGCUUCUCUCAGGAUGCUAGGACCAGUUUCGUGUCCUAGCUUUGCUGAAGGUUUAGCUGUCUCUGUUGGACAUUUAUUAUGUAUUUUUUUAAAACAUUUGGGCUUUGAUGUAA
Non-coding RNA from Lonchura striata (white-rumped munia), 962 nucleotides. Lineage: Eukaryota; Metazoa; Chordata; Aves; Passeriformes; Estrildidae. The record is from RefSeq and is a predicted model, not a curated record.